Long non-coding RNA from Dreissena polymorpha, 622 nucleotides. RefSeq lists it as uncharacterized. The record is from RefSeq and is a predicted model, not a curated record. The transcript is spliced from 2 exons. NCBI's taxonomy places the organism in Eukaryota, Metazoa, Mollusca, Bivalvia, Myida, Dreissenidae.
AACAGGGUUGAAAUAUUCAUUUCACGGAUUCUGUUCAUGUGUUCUGUUUUAAAUGUUAUUAUUUCCAUAUAACGCAUUGUGUUUACCUGGGUUACUUAUUAAGCUGUGCUCCUGUGGCCAGUCUUAGAGUUAAAGUCAGUCAAGCAUGUGAGUUACACAUGUCCAGUUUAUAUAAUUGUUCAGUCAGGCUUGACCAGUUAUUUUCCCGCCCUUUCCUUUGUCUUCUGGACACUUCUAACUUGAACACAGAGCUGUACACAUCUACUUUUAAGAGGUACAUUUAUAGUACAGAGUUGCCAUUACUUCAAUAUAAGGUUAGUUCUAUUUCUACCUGUUUGCAUUUACUCUUUCUUGUAUUUGCAUUGAGUUGUAUUUAUGUUGUGAGUUGAUAUAACUCAUAUUUGAUAAGUAAUUAGGUUAAAUUCAGAAAAGCAGCAUUGCCAUCCUAAACGUGCUAACGAUUCCUAUAAUUCACAGUUUCCCAUACUCUUCACAUGUAUAAUCUUAUUUGCAGCAGUAGCACAACACCCGCAGAGAAUUGUAUAAGAUUGAGAGAGAGUUCCGUACACAUUCCACAAAUGUGACAUGGAAUUCGUAUAAUAAUAAAGACGAAUACAACAUA